This 253-nucleotide ribosomal RNA is filed under the name uncultured bacterium. RNAcentral's name for it is "partial 16S ribosomal RNA". It matches the Rfam family "Bacterial small subunit ribosomal RNA", at positions 524 to 776 of the family's 1533-position model. The record is from RNAcentral.
UACGGAGGGUGCGAGCGUUGUCCGGAAUCACUGGGCGUAAAGGGCGCGUAGGCGGCUUUUUAAGGGUGCGGUGAAAGCCCGGGGCUUAACCCCGGGUCGGCCGUGCCGACUGUAAAGCUGGAGCACUGUAGAGGCAGGUGGAAUUCCGGGUGUAGCGGUGGAAUGCGUAGAGAUCCGGAAGAACACCAGUGGCGAAGGCGGCCUGCUGGGCAGUUGCUGACGCUGAGGCGCGACAGCGUGGGGAGCAAACAGG